GACGAACGCUGGCGGCGUGCCUAAUACAUGCAAGUAGAACGCACAGUUUAUACCGUAGCUUGCUACACCAUAGACUGUGAGUUGCGAACGGGUGAGUAACGCGUAGGUAACCUGCCUGGUAGCGGGGGAUAACUAUUGGAAACGAUAGCUAAUACCGCAUAAUAUUGAUUAUUGCAUGAUAAUUAAUUGAAAGGUGCAAUUGCACCACUACCAGAUGGACCUGCGUUGUAUUAGCUAGUAGGUGAGGUAACGGCUCACCUAGGCGACGAUACAUAGCCGACCUGAGAGGGUGAUCGGCCACACUGGGACUGAGACACGGCCCAGACUCCUACGGGAGGCAGCAGUAGGGAAUCUUCGGCAAUGGACGAAAGUCUGACCGAGCAACGCCGCGUGAGUGAAGAAGGUUUUCGGAUCGUAAAGCUCUGUUGUAAGAGAAGAACGGGUGUGAGAGCGGAAAGUUCACACUGUGACGGUAUCUUACCAGAAAGGGACGGCUAACUACGUG
RNAcentral lists this ribosomal RNA (505 nucleotides) under uncultured bacterium. RNAcentral's name for it is "partial 16S ribosomal RNA". It matches the Rfam family "Bacterial small subunit ribosomal RNA", at positions 28 to 507 of the family's 1533-position model. The record is from RNAcentral.